This 424-nucleotide ribosomal RNA is filed under the name uncultured prokaryote. Its description in RNAcentral is "bacterial SSU rRNA". It matches the Rfam family "Bacterial small subunit ribosomal RNA", at positions 355 to 796 of the family's 1533-position model. The record is from RNAcentral.
UGGGGAAUAUUGGACAAUGGGCGCAAGCCUGAUCCAGCCAUGCCGCGUGAGUGACGAAGGCCCUAGGGUUGUAAAGCUCUUUUGGCAGGGACGAUAAUGACGGUACCUGCAGCAUAAGCCCCGGCUAACUUCGUGCCAGCAGCCGCGGUAAUACGAAGGGGGCUAGCGUUGUUCGGAAAUACUGGGCGUAAAGCGCGCGUAGGCGGACUGGACAGUUGGGGGUGAAAACCCGGGGCUCAACCUCGGAACUGCCCUCAAUACUGCCAGUCUCGAGUCCGGAAGAGGUGAGUGGAAUUCCUAGUGUAGAGGCGAAAUUCGUAGAUAUUAGGAAGAACACCAGUGGCGAAGGCGGCUCACUGGUCCGGUACUGACGCUGAGGUGCGAAAGCGUGGGGAGCAAACAGGAUUAGAUACCCCGGUAGUCC